CGGUUGAUCCUGCCGGAGGACAUUGCUAUUGGGAUUCGAUUUAGCCAUGCUAGUCGAACGAGUUCAGACUCGUGGCGAAUAGCUCAGUAACACGUGGCCAAGCUCCCCUUCAGUCAGCGAUACCCUCGGGAAACUGAGGUUAACAGCUGAUACAAAGCGCCAGCUGGAAUGCGGCGUUUCAGAAAGACAUCGCUGAAGGAUGCGGCUGCGGCCGAUUAGGUAGACGGUGGGGUGACGGCCCACCGUGCCAGUAAUCGGUACGGGUGAUGAGAGUCAGAGCCCGGAGACGGAAUCUGAGACAAGAUUCCGGGCCCUACGGGGCGCAGCAGGCGCGAAACCUUUACACUGCAUGGAAGUGCGAUAGGGGAAUCCCAAGUGCGAGGGCAUAUUAGCCCUCGCUUUUCUCGACUGUAAGGUGGUCUACGAAUAAGGGCUGGGCAAGACCGGUGCCAGCCGCCGCGGUAACACCGGCAGCCCAAGUGAUGGCCGAUAUUAUUGGGCCUAAAGCGUCCGUAGCUGGCCGCGCAAGUUCGUCGGGAAAUCCACUCGCUUAACGAGUGGGCGUCCGGCGAAAACUGUGCGGCUUGGGACCGGAAGAUCCAAGGGGUACGUCCGGGGUAGGAGUGAAAUCCCGUAAUCCUGGACGGACCACCGAUGGCGAAAGCACCUUGGAAGGACGGAUCCGACAGUGAGGGACGAAAGCUAGGGUCUCGAACCGGAUUAGAUACCCCGGUAGUC
RNAcentral lists this ribosomal RNA (738 nucleotides) under uncultured haloarchaeon. RNAcentral describes it as "bacterial SSU rRNA". It matches the Rfam family "Archaeal small subunit ribosomal RNA", at positions 5 to 746 of the family's 1478-position model. The record is from RNAcentral. Lineage: Archaea; Methanobacteriati; Methanobacteriota; Halobacteria; Halobacteriales; Halobacteriaceae.